Long non-coding RNA from Cyanistes caeruleus (blue tit), 402 nucleotides. RefSeq lists it as uncharacterized. The record is from RefSeq and is a predicted model, not a curated record. Lineage: Eukaryota; Metazoa; Chordata; Aves; Passeriformes; Paridae.
CUCAGCUGCACCUGGGAGCUCCCCAAAUUUAUGCCAAUCAAACUGAACCAGCUUAGCUUGAAAACUUUCAUUUGAGAAGGUGUCAGCCUCCUUCUGCAGGUGGAGGAAUACUACAAAAGCAAAGGCAGGAAGUGGAGAUCUGGGCACUUUUUGUGGACAGCUUUAAUUACAUGUGAAGAACCAUGUGUCCCUCACAGUUUGUCCCAGAGAUAAGACCUUCCCUGCAGAUGGCACGAUAGAAGAAAUGGGAAUUUCUUCUCUACAAUGGCCUCUGUUCAGCACACAACCUUCCCAGUGCCCAGUAAUUCUCUUGCCUGGAAUACAGACAGCUCCUGCAGAACACCAAAGACUGACUAAUCUAAUAUGGGUUGAAGCUCUCAAAUAAAAACAAAACUAAACAGC